Molecule: ribosomal RNA, 496 nt
Filed under: uncultured bacterium
Lineage: Bacteria
Description: bacterial SSU rRNA
Rfam family: Bacterial small subunit ribosomal RNA
Source: RNAcentral
AUGAACGCUAGCGACAGGCCUAACACAUGCAAGUCGAGGGGCAGCACAAGGAGCAAUCUGAGGUGGCGACCGGCGCACGGGUGAGUAACACGUAUGCAACCUGCCUGUAAGCGGGGAAUAACCCGUUGAAAGACGGACUAAUACCGCAUAAUACUAAAUUUACUGCAUGGUAAUUUAUUUAAACAUUUAUGGCUUACAGAUGGGCAUGCGCAUGAUUAGCUAGUUGGAGAGGUAACGGCUCCCCAAGGCAACGAUCAUUAGGGGUUCUGAGAGGAAGGUCCCCCACACUGGUACUGAGACACGGACCAGACUCCUACGGGAGGCAGCAGUGAGGAAUAUUGGUCAAUGGACGAGAGUCUGAACCAGCCAAGUCGCGUGCAGGAAGAAUGUCCCUAUGGAUUGUAAACUGCUUUUGCAGGGGAAUAAAGUGCAUCACGUGUGAUGUUUUGUAUGUACUCUGCGAAUAAGGAUCGGCUAACUCCGUGCCAGCCGCGGC